GGACUACUGGGGUUUCUAAUCCUGUUCGCUCCCCUAGCUUUCGCGCCUCAGCGUCAGAUGCCAGCCAGGACACUGCCUUCGCCUUUGGUAUUCCUCCGGAUAUCUACGCAUUUCACCACUCCACCCGGAAUUCUAUGUCCCUCUCUGGCCCUCAAGUCCAGCAGUUUUGAAAGGCCUUCCCCAGUUAAGCCGGGAACUGUCACUCUCAACUUGCUGCACCGCCUGCACGCCCUUUACGCCCAGUAACUCCGGACAACGCUCGCCCCCUACGUAUUACCGCGGCUGCUGGCAC
This 292-nucleotide ribosomal RNA is filed under the name uncultured bacterium. Its description in RNAcentral is "partial 16S ribosomal RNA". The record is from RNAcentral.